This 612-nucleotide ribosomal RNA is filed under the name Triticum aestivum (bread wheat). Its description in RNAcentral is "partial small subunit ribosomal RNA". The record is from RNAcentral. Lineage: Eukaryota; Viridiplantae; Streptophyta; Magnoliopsida; Poales; Poaceae.
AUGUAUCAUGGAUGUAUGUAUGCAAUGCAAGUGAAGCCUCCUUUGCACAAACAAAGGGAGGCAUGUGGAUGCAGUUCCUGGGUAGAUUGGUUCCAGGCAGAGCCACUUUUUAUAGGCACUAUAUAUAUAGGAGUAGUAGUACUUGUGAAGCAAAGAUGUUUUGCUCUUAUGCUUACUACCACUGUGGAUGAUGAUGAUGAUGACAAUCCAUCCAAUUAUGUAUACCAAGUUACCAACCAGUAUAGUAGAAUAAAUUGCCACUUUGUCAAACCUAUGUUGUCAUGGAUGCUCAUCUUGAUCUUGUGCAUCAUGUGUCAAAAGGAGAUAGUGAUGCAUCAUAUGGUUAUGGUCAUUGGGACUGCUGAACAAGCACCAAAAAAUGCAAAAACCAACGAUGACACAUCAUCACUUCUCUGGACUUUGACUGUUGACAUGAGAAAGCAAGAACAAGUUUUGCGACUGUUCACCAGCAGGUUGUGCUCAAGCAAUACAGUGAUUGAGCAGCUUUCACCGUCAAAUUCUGCUUUUUAUCGUCUGAACGGAAAGCCGUCAAAACUCUCAGGCAUCACUCCUCCCAAAUCCCCAGAAUUCCAAGACAAAAUUUCAUCCUGA